Non-coding RNA from Ornithorhynchus anatinus (platypus), 138 nucleotides. The record is from Rfam. NCBI's taxonomy places the organism in Eukaryota, Metazoa, Chordata, Mammalia, Monotremata, Ornithorhynchidae.
CUCCUCUUAGGAUCACACCUGGAGAGUUUCUAGGACUCCACCAGUCUUGGCUACAAGAGGGAGAGUCAAGCAGAGACAUACCCAUUCUAUUCCUAACUUGAGCAGUGGCUAGCAAGGGGAAGGGAAUCUGCUACAAGU